GACGAACGCUGGCGGCGUGCUUAACACAUGCAAGUCGAACGGUAAGGCCCUUCGGGGUACACGAGUGGCGAACGGGUGAGUAACACGUGGGUGAUCUGCCCUGCACUUCGGGAUAAGCCUGGGAAACUGGGUCUAAUACCGGAUAGGACUCCGGACUGCAUGGUCUGGGGUGGAAAGCUUUUGCGGUGUGGGAUGGGCCCGCGGCCUAUCAGCCUGUUGGUGGGGUGAUGGCCUACCAAGGCGACGACGGGUAGCCGGCCUGAGAGGGUGACCGGCCAGACUGGGACUGAGGUACGGCCCAGACUGCUACGGGAGGCAGCAGUGGGGAAUAUUGCGCAAUGGGCGCAAGGCUGAUGCAGCGACGCCGCGUGAGGGAUGACGGCCUUCGGGUUGUAAACCUCUUUCAGCGCCGACGGAGCGCAAGUGACGGUAGGUGCAGAAGAAGGACCGGCCAACUACGUGCCAGCCGCCGCAGUAA
Molecule: ribosomal RNA, 478 nt
Filed under: uncultured bacterium
Lineage: Bacteria
Description: partial 16S ribosomal RNA
Rfam family: Bacterial small subunit ribosomal RNA
Source: RNAcentral